UCUCUAAAUCCAUCUAUAAAUAGCAGCUCGUCACAUUGAUUAUUCAUUAAAAGUUGUAGCUUUAGAGAAUCUGCUGAAAGAGGAGAACAAUAGCAAUCACAAGAUUAAAUCAUGGUUUACUUUACCGAUUUGACGUCCUCUUCUUCAGAGUUGCGAUACCUUGUAAUAUCAGAUCAUAAAGAUAGUGAGGUGGAGACGAAUAAUAAAUAUGAACAAGUGACUUGAUCUUGAACAUCUUGAUAUUUGCCUUCGUUCUUGAUCUUGAACUUGAACUUGAGUUUGAUUACUUGAAGUUUGUAGCUUUGUAGAGAAUCUGUUGCCUUUGAUCCACAAUCUCUCUUUUUGCUUCUUAUUCUUAAAAAAACCUCUGAAAAUAAUGAGGACCCCUAUUUAUAGUUGUAGGAAGUGGUAUACCUGUGUGAUUUGAUUGGUCAGAAUGAACUGACCAAUCACAUUCCUCUGGUGAAAAUCUCUAAUUUGGUUGGUUAGAAUAUGUCACAUAUAUAUGUGGCAAUAUUCUAGAUGCUCAUUUAAUUUGACGUGAAUUGCCACAUAAUUUUGACA
This is a long non-coding RNA of Solanum dulcamara, 564 nucleotides long. RefSeq lists it as uncharacterized. The record is from RefSeq and is a predicted model, not a curated record. The transcript is spliced from 2 exons. Lineage: Eukaryota; Viridiplantae; Streptophyta; Magnoliopsida; Solanales; Solanaceae.